AGGGUUUGAUCAUGGCUCAGAACGUACGCUGGCGGCACGCCUAACACAUGCAAGUCGAACGAAGUAGCAAUACUUAGUGGCAAACGGGUGAGUAAUAUGUGGGAAUCUACCUAUCGGUCUGGAAUAACAUGAGGAAACUUGUGCUAAUACCGGAUAAGCCUUUACAGGGAAAGCUUUAUGCUCCGAUUGAUGAGUCCACACUUGAUUAGUUAGUUGGUGAGGUAAAAGCUCACCAAGACAAUGAUCAAUAGCUGAUUUGAGAGGAUGAUCAGCCACAUUGGGACUGAGACACGGCCCAAACUCCUACGGGAGGCAGCAGUGGGGAAUCUUGCACAAUGGGGGAAACCCUGAUGCAGCGAUGCCGCGUGAGUGAAGAAGGCCUUUGGGUUGUAAAGCUCUUUCGUCGGGGAAGAAAAUGACUGUACCCGAAUAAGAAGGUCCGGCUAACUUCGUGCCAGCAGCCGCGGUAAUACGAAGGGACCUAGCGUAGUUCGGAAUUACUGGGCUUAAAGAGUUCGUAGGUGGUUAAGAAAGUUGAUGGUGAAAUCCCAGAGCUUAACCCUGGAACUGCCAUCAAAACUUUUUAGCUAGAGUAUGAUAGAGGAAAGUAGAAUUUCUAGUGUAGAGG
Molecule: ribosomal RNA, 628 nt
Filed under: uncultured bacterium
Lineage: Bacteria
Description: bacterial SSU rRNA
Rfam family: Bacterial small subunit ribosomal RNA
Source: RNAcentral